GACGUAGGGCGCGAGCGUUGUCCGGAUUUAUUGGGCGUAAAGAGCUCGUAGGCGGUUUGUUACGUCGUUCGUGAAAACUUGGGGCUCAACUCCAAGCUUGCGGUCGAUACGGGCAGGCUAGAGUUCGGUAGGGGAGACUGGAAUUCCUGGUGUAGCGGUGAAAUGCGCAGAUAUCAGGAGGAGCACCGGUGGCGAAGGCGGAUCUCUGGGCCAUUACUGACGCUGAGGCGCGAAAGCGUGGGGAGCGAACAGG
Molecule: ribosomal RNA, 253 nt
Filed under: uncultured bacterium
Lineage: Bacteria
Description: partial 16S ribosomal RNA
Rfam family: Bacterial small subunit ribosomal RNA
Source: RNAcentral